GUUGGUGAACCAGCGGAGGGAUCAUUAACGAGUUUACAAACUCCCAAACCCUAUGUGAACCUUACCAUAUCGUUGCUUCGGCGGGCUCUCAAGCCCCGGCGCGCGGAAACGCACGCGGGGGUUGCUCGCCGGAGGACCCAAACUCUUAUGUCUUUAGUGGUUUUCUCCUCUGAGUGACAAACAAACAAAUAAAUAAAAACUUUCAACAACGGAUCUCUUGGUUCUG
RNAcentral lists this unclassified non-coding RNA (226 nucleotides) under rhizosphere metagenome. RNAcentral's name for it is "partial ribosomal RNA internal transcribed spacer region". The record is from RNAcentral.